GCAGAAACAGUAAAUUAGAUGAAAAGGAACGAACCUGAGAUGGAGCAACGAACAAACUCUUCUUAACGGAGAGUUGAGAGCAAUGAAACUGAACCUUAGAUGAAAAACAAACUCUUCUGAACACUUGCGAUUUAGGGGGAUUUAGCAAAUUAGGGAAUGAAGAAAUUGAUUUAGGGGUUAGGGUUGAUGAAGAAAAGGAGUUAGGGAUUAGGAUUGUGAUAGGAAUCUGCGAUGAAUAGAUGAUUUAGGGUCAUGGUCGGUGAAGGAAAUGGAGGUGAAGAAUAGUGGUGAUGGAAACGGCGGUGUACGAAAAUAACAAGGGAGAUGAAUUCUGGUGAUGGUUUUGUUUUUCAAUUUUUUUUAGCGUGUUUUAUGUGUUUGACAGUGUUUUGUCUGAGUGAGGGUUCUAAUUUUUAAUUUUUUUUUUUAAGGAAACAAAGGGAUUACAUUUUGGCAAGGCGCUAAGAUGAAAA
Molecule: long non-coding RNA, 473 nt
Filed under: Trifolium pratense (red clover)
Lineage: Eukaryota; Viridiplantae; Streptophyta; Magnoliopsida; Fabales; Fabaceae
Description: long non-coding RNA (TPRA_LNC004629)
Source: RNAcentral